Calidris pugnax (ruff) is the source of this 3588-nucleotide long non-coding RNA. RefSeq lists it as uncharacterized. Lineage: Eukaryota; Metazoa; Chordata; Aves; Charadriiformes; Scolopacidae. The transcript is spliced from 3 exons. The record is from RefSeq and is a predicted model, not a curated record.
CUUUGCCAGUGGAAAUGUCUAACAGGCUUGUGAGCAAACUCUCUGCUCCUGUUCUGGCAUGAGACUGUAUAUAUACGGAUUUUUUUUAACUGUAAGAGGAAAUUUGGAUUGAGUGGUGUGUUUCCUGCACUUAGAGAGGAAAACUAACCAGGUGUGACAUGAAAUGGGAAAUAAAUCUAACCCAUCUAGUGUAGACUCAUUGCCCACCCCCAACACUUAUCCCCUGAGUGAAAUAGUUACGAUUAGGAAGCAAUAAAUAAAAUAUUUCCUGGAUAAACCUUAGUUCUUUACUACAGCAUGGUUUCAAUAAAGCAGAAUUAACUACUUUUGCCUUUACUUGGUUCUGCCUCUGCAAUCUGAAGUCAUGACCUGGCAGACUGAGUGGGAAAGGUGCCAUCUGUGAGUUAUUAAUAAACUUUUAUGUCGUAAGAAAUAUUUCUACAAAAUGCUUUGAGCUGGUUGUAGGAAUGGCUUUGCAGAACCAGAAGAUAUCUCCUCACUUUCACGUCAGAACAGACCUGCUGUGGCCUUAAAAAUGGGAUUUUGAGUACCCAGCAUCAGCAGGGACGUUCUGGCACGUGUCCUGGGUAAACACGGGGGGCAAAAAAAGUCACAUUUUUUCCUCUCUUCUCUGUAACUUGCAAUCACAACAAAGCUGGGGCUGUUGGUUCCCAUCUGGAAAAUUUCACACCUCUUAAAGAAAAAAAAAAUAGAUCUGUCCAGUUCUAUGUACUUAACCAGCAACCCAAAGGUCAGAGCGAGCAGCCAGGACGAGUGUUUCGCUUUGUCUUUGAUUUCUGUUACUCAAAGUGCCCCACAGCUGUGACACGAGUGGUCUUUCGCAGCAGUUUGGCUUUUGGAGGUUUGCUGAGCUUCCCUCUGUCCGUCUGGCAAAUGUCCGUGCUUCGCCACAGCGUCUUGAAAGGGCUUUAGAUCCUGGGUGUUGCCCGAUUUUUCCAAUUCACUUCCAAAUUCUUUUCGUCUCUUAAGUCUUGAGCUGAUCCCUACUGCGUGGCUUAAGGUGUUGGUCAGAAAGGAACAGCAAGGAAGUGAAUUGUUUGCCAAAUAGGGUGUCUCACUACAAACAACCUUUUUUUCUUCUUUUCAUUUUCCGCUACCUUUCUUUUACAUUCUUUUUUUUUUUCAUCUUCCUUGCCUUAUCAAAGUCUCUGAGAGAUACUUUGUUCUUCAAAGCAUUUUGGAAGGAGAUCUCCACCUCCAGCCCCAGUGAAUCCAUUCCAGCAGUACUGAAGUGUUGCAGCAUCCUUCCUUUGGUUCAGCAAUAAAAGAGCAGUUCAUACUUGAUUUCCAGUUGUCUCCAGUGGAUGCUGGGAGCCCCUGCAAGAAGGGGGCUGGGAGAGCUGCCAGGAGAAAGAAUUCUUUAUAAAGUAGCUGUGAGGGGGCCAUAACCUUCUGCAGGAAGAGCUGCUCUCCACGAAGGUGGAUCCUAUUGUAAGUGGUCCUGUGUUUCAGGAGGCUUUUUAAUUAGCAUCUGGUUUUGGCCAAGCAUGUGCUUCCACCUCCCUCUUGUCUGGGAGCAUCUGAGGAGAGGGAGCUGUGACUGCUGCUCAGGAGCUGUGGAUGUGAGACGGGAACUGCCAAGUGCCAGAGUCCUCUGUCUUGUGUCUUUGGGAGCACUUGGCUCGAUAAAACCUGCAAGUCUGCAAAACAGAGCAACUUAGGAGCUGUGCUUUAAUGAAGCAGUCACACCUCGCGCUUCUGUGUCUAGCAGAGAUACUGGUUUGACUGUAAUUAAGAGGAUUCUUCUUAAUCACGGUGCAUUGAGGAGCCACGGUUCGUGCCGAAGGCAGCAUCUUUCCCCUCGCUCGCUUCCAGCAGGUGAAGUGAAACAGGACAUGGAGCCCUGCACUCGCUGCCAGCGCUUUGUGCUGCCCUGGCCUGAGGAGCAGGUUUUGUUUGGAUUCACAGACCUGCAGCCCCCGGUCUCCUCUCACUGCUCUCCCUUCUGCUCCCUUGCUGCUGUGCUCGUGUUAUUUUCCCAUUGAGUUUCCUUUCUCUUUUGAUACAGUUAGUGCUGCUGAUUCCUUUUCGCUCUGGUAUCUGUUUGGGUUCUGCAAAGAAUCUUUCAUAACCCAAAUGGGACAGUUUAAAACACUCUGUAAAGCUGGCGGUGCCUCUGGUGAUGGCAGAGGUGUUGAGAGACUCUCCCUCCUCUUGGCUGCUGCUUUUCCCCUGCUCCUGCUGCUCCGGACACUUCCCUGCUGCCACUUACCAUAUCUUCAGGACCACAGGUUGCCUCUGGAAAGGUGGCUUUUAUUUUUUUAAAAACUAAGGAAAAACCUGGAAGUGUGCAUGUUAACGAAAUGGUAAUCAUUUGCUUGUCUGCAGUAACUUUGUGUUAAAUGGAGCCUGUGUCUUGGGCAGACCCCACUGGGCAGGGUCUGUGGAGCUGACUCCUUUCUGGAAGAACGUUCUUUCUACAUCUCUUCCAUCCAUCCAGUUAGUGGAGAAGUUAACAUCAAUGCAGGAAGCCCCCAGUGUGGAAAACAUGCUCUGUGGGCAGGUCUUGGUCCAGAAACAAUUUUUUUAUUGACGUGUUUAUGUUCCCGUGGAGUUUACUCGCUCUUGCAAUAAUAUUGGAGCUGUCAGACACAGCUGGGGAAGGCAGCGGCGUUUGUGUACGUGCCAAGUCCCUGUUCUCAGCCCUUGAACCCUUGUCACUGAGCAGUUUUCAAGUGGUUUGUGUGUCCUUCUUUCCCCUUUUAAAAAGAAAAAAAAAAAAGCCCUCAAAACAUUUUCGGUGUGUAAUUAACCUUAAGGCUGUGAAUCCAAAUGUUCUAAAGUUAAGUAACACUCAAUGAAAAAGUUCAAUGGUAGCGUUGAUCCUACUGUGACCUUUUUAUUGCUUCUUGGGUGUGUAUUAGUACUGAUACCUGUUUCUGUCACAGAAAACGCAAGGUGAGACUGGAGGUUACCACCAUGACAUUGAUUUCAUAUCCCACACCCCCAGGCAUCUGACCCUGCAAAUUCAGGGAUUGUAGGCAAUAAAUUUGCAUUUGAUUGUUAAGCACAGAAGGUACUGGCCUUUGCCGGGUGGGCAGAGUUGCAUUAAAAGCUUCCAAAUAUUCCCUCUCAAUAUUCCUGGGGUUUGUCAUCCCUGCUGGCUUGGGGUGAGACUUUCCCAUACGUUCUUGUAUAUUUUUUUGGCAGGAUAUAGUAGGAGUGUCAUUGUGUGCAGGCAGCUCAUAACCAUCCUCUUCCUGCGAAACGGUCCAUCAGAGCAGGAACUCGAGUCUCGUACCCAGCAAGAAAAAGAAGUGGUGCUCAAAGUGCUCUGAAAUUCAGCCAUUAAUAUGCUUUAGCUACUAACUGCCCCCUCCUGCUCCGGAGGCAGCAGUAACCUUGUGCUUCCUCGGGGUCUGACUCCAGGAACCUGCAGGAGUUCCCUGGGCCCUGCUCUCCCCCCGGCAGGGUCUGUGGUAGUUGUUCAUCUGAAACCGUGACUCACCCGGAGCUUCCCGGUGUCAUCGGCUCCGGCUUCUGUUGGGGGAACGAGAAGGCAAAGUGUGUGUGUGUCAGGUUACCCGGUUACCUGUUUAAUUUUCUUUCCCUGCCCCCUCCGCUUGU